Molecule: ribosomal RNA, 781 nt
Filed under: uncultured Alphaproteobacteria bacterium
Lineage: Bacteria; Pseudomonadati; Pseudomonadota; Alphaproteobacteria
Description: bacterial SSU rRNA
Rfam family: Bacterial small subunit ribosomal RNA
Source: RNAcentral
UGCUUAACACAUGCAAGUCGAACGAAGUCUUCGGACUUAGUGGCGCACGGGUGAGUAACAUGUGGGAAUCUACCUAGAGGUUCGGAACAACUAUGGGAAACUGUAGCUAAUACCGGAUGUGUCUGUAAAGAGAAAGAUUUAUCGCCUUUAGAUGAGCCCGCACUAGAUUAGUUUGUUGGUGAGGUAACUGCUCCACCAAGACUACGAUCUAUAGCUGAUUUGAGAGGAUGAUCAGCCACACUGGGACUGAGACACGGCCCAGACUCCUACGGGAGGCAGCAGUGGGGAAUAUUGGACAAUGGGGGAAACCCUGAUCCAGCAAUGCCGCGUGAGUGAAGAAGGCCCUCGGGUUGUAAAACUCUUUCAUCAAUGAAGAUAAUGACAUUAAUUGAAGAAGAAGCUCCGGCUAACUCCGUGCCAGCAGCCGCGGUAAUACGGAGGGGGCUAGCGUUGUUCGGAAUUACUGGGCGUAAAGCGUAUGUAGGCGGAUCGAAAAGUUAGAUGUGAAAUCCCUGAGCUUAACUCAGGAACUGCAUUUAAAACUAGAGAUCUAGAAUUUGGCAGAGGAUAGUAGAAUUUCCAGUGUAGAGGUGAAAUUCGUAGAUAUUGGAAAGAAUACCAGUGGCGAAGGCGACUAUCUGGACCAUUUUUGACGCUGAGAUACGAAAGCGUGGGUAGCAAACAGGAUUAGAUACCCUGGUAGUCCACGCAGUAAACGAUGAGUGCUAGUCGCUGGACCAAUAGGUUCGGUGUCGUAGCUAACGCAUUAAGCACUCCGCCU